RNAcentral lists this ribosomal RNA (253 nucleotides) under uncultured bacterium. Its description in RNAcentral is "partial 16S ribosomal RNA". It matches the Rfam family "Bacterial small subunit ribosomal RNA", at positions 524 to 776 of the family's 1533-position model. The record is from RNAcentral.
UACGUAGGGGGCAAGCGUUGUCCGGAUUUAUUGGGCGUAAAGCGCGUGUAGGUGGCCAAGUAGGUCAGCUGUGAAAACUUGAGGCUCAACCUCAAGCUGUCGGUUGAAACCACUUGGCUAGAGUCCGGAAGAGGAGAGUGGAAUUCCUGGUGUAGCGGUGAAAUGCGCAGAUAUCAGGAGGAACACCUGUGGUGUAGACAGCUUUCUGGACCAUAGCUGACGCUGAGACACGAAAGCGUGGGUAGCAAACAGG